Mugil cephalus (flathead mullet) is the source of this 386-nucleotide long non-coding RNA. RefSeq lists it as uncharacterized. Lineage: Eukaryota; Metazoa; Chordata; Actinopteri; Mugiliformes; Mugilidae. The record is from RefSeq and is a predicted model, not a curated record. The transcript has 3 exons.
CAGUGGAGACGCCGUCGCUUGGGUAGAAGACGGUUGCCGUGGGGAUGGCUCUGAACAUGGCCAGGUCCUCCAGACCCAUCUGAGAGGGUCCAUCCUCACCUAAAUAUACCACAAACACCACAGCACCAACAAAGACGUCAGGUGUGAACGUCACCUCACCGGCACUGGGUGUCCUUCCAGGAUGGAGUCGACCUUGCGGAGGUUGAGGAGCUCGUUCUCCUUCAGGUAGCCUGUCUCCGCCCACACGGCGUACAGCACAGGAGCCGCAUGACCCUGAGGACAUAGGGGUCAAAGUGGAUAUGAGUCAAUUAUUUGGACACUGGACGCACUAUUAGAGGUUUCUGUGCCCCGGCCACCUGUACGUUACCUUGGAGAGGACAAACCGG